RNAcentral lists this ribosomal RNA (1341 nucleotides) under uncultured bacterium. RNAcentral describes it as "16S ribosomal RNA". It matches the Rfam family "Bacterial small subunit ribosomal RNA", at positions 28 to 1381 of the family's 1533-position model. The record is from RNAcentral.
GACGAACGCUGGCGGCGUGCUUAACACAUGCAAGUCGAACGGUAAGGCUCCAGCUUGCUGGGGUACACGAGUGGCGAACGGGUGAGUAACACGUGGGUGACCUGCCCUGCACUUCGGGAUAAGCCUGGGAAACUGGGUCUAAUACCGGAUAGGACCGCACCGUGAGGGUGUGGUGGAAAGUUUUUUCGGUGUGGGAUGGGCCCGCGGCCUAUCAGCUUGUUGGUGGGGUAAUGGCCUACCAAGGCGGCGACGGGUAGCCGGCCUGAGAGGGUGGACGGCCACAUUGGGACUGAAACACGGCCCAGACUCCUACGGGAGGCAGCAGUGGGGAAUAUUGCACAAUGGGCGGAAGCCUGAUGCAGCGACGCCGCGUGGGGGAUGACGGCCUUCGGGUUGUAAACUCCUUUCACCAUCGACGAAGGGUUUCUGACGGUAGAUGGAGAAGAAGCACCGGCUAACUACGUGCCAGCAGCCGCGGUAAUACGUAGGGUGCGAGCGUUGUCCGGAAUUACUGGGCGUAAAGAGCUCGUAGGUGGUUUGUCGCGUCGUCUGUGAAAUUCCGGGGCUUAACUCCGGGCGUGCAGGCGAUACGGGCAUAACUUGAGUACUGUAGGGGAGACUGGAAUUCCUGGUGUAGCGGUGAAAUGCGCAGAUAUCAGGAGGAACACCGGUGGCGAAGGCGGGUCUCUGGGCAGUAACUGACGCUGAGGAGCGAAAGCAUGGGGAGCGAACAGGAUUAGAUACCCUGGUAGUCCAUGCCGUAAACGGUGGGCGCUAGGUGUGGGUUUCCUUCCACGGGAUCCGUGCCGUAGCUAACGCAUUAAGCGCCCCGCCUGGGGAGUACGGCCGCAAGGCUAAAACUCAAAGGAAUUGACGGGGGCCCGCACAAGCGGCGGAGCAUGUGGAUUAAUUCGAUGCAACGCGAAGAACCUUACCUGGGCUUGACAUAUACAGGAUCGCGCCAGAGAUGGUGUUUCCCUUGUGGCUUGUAUACAGGUGGUGCAUGGUUGUCGUCAGCUCGUGUCGUGAGAUGUUGGGUUAAGUCCCGCAACGAGCGCAACCCUUGUCUUAUGUUGCCAGCACGUUGUGGUGGGGACUCGUAAGAAACUGCCGGGGUUAACUCGGAGGAAGGUGGGGAUGACGUCAAAUCAUCAUGCCCCUUAUGUCCAGGGCUUCACACAUGCUACAAUGGCCGGUACAGUGGGUUGCCAGUCCGUGAGGGCGAGCUAAUCCCGCAAAGCCGGUCUCAGUUCGGAUCGGGGUCUGCAACUCGACCCCGUGAAGUCGGAGUCGCUAGUAAUCGCAGAUCAGCAACGCUGCGGUGAAUACGUUCCCGGGCCU